This 251-nucleotide ribosomal RNA is filed under the name uncultured bacterium. RNAcentral describes it as "partial 16S ribosomal RNA". It matches the Rfam family "Bacterial small subunit ribosomal RNA", at positions 1248 to 1500 of the family's 1533-position model. The record is from RNAcentral.
AGCUACCUGGUGACAGGAUGCGAAUCUCGAAAGCCGGUCUCAUUCGGAUUGCAGGCUGGAACUCGCCUGCAUGAAGUUGGAUUCGCUAGUAAUCGCGAAUCAGAAUGUCGCGGUGAAUACGUUCCCGGGUCUUGUACACACCGCCCGUCACACCAUGGGAGUCAGUAACGCCCGAAGUCAGUGACCCAACCUUAGGGAGGGAGCUGCCGAAGGCGGGACGGAUAACUGGGGUGAAGUCGUAACAAGGUACC